Molecule: long non-coding RNA, 395 nt
Organism: Syngnathoides biaculeatus (alligator pipefish)
Lineage: Eukaryota; Metazoa; Chordata; Actinopteri; Syngnathiformes; Syngnathidae
Exons: 4
Source: RefSeq, a predicted model, not a curated record
GUCACAUACGGCCCACAGUGACGGCGUGGUGGCUGCAACAGAGACAACAACACAGACCUGGCUUUGCUAAAUUGCGCCGUAGCUGGCAGGAAAUCCGUAUUUGCGAGGGGUUUGGUAUAAUAAUGAGAUACUAAACCAGACCAUUCUACGCAGCCACCAAGAAUCAGAAUGUGGGAGGAAGCCAAUGGAACAUUCACCCCCAAGAGCCACGGCGAGAACAAGAAAAUGUCAUACAGGAAGGCUGGAGCUGAGAUUCAAAACCAGAACCUCAAAACUGUGAGGCAGACUUGGUGCUGCAAACAUAAUAAAUCAACAUGUUUUAUUACGAAGAUGAAUUAAGAUGCUAAAAGAUUAGAUUAAAAAUUAUGGAAAAUUCUUUGGUGAUGCUGAAUUAA